RNAcentral lists this ribosomal RNA (503 nucleotides) under uncultured bacterium. RNAcentral describes it as "bacterial SSU rRNA". It matches the Rfam family "Bacterial small subunit ribosomal RNA", at positions 28 to 523 of the family's 1533-position model. The record is from RNAcentral.
GAUGAACGCUAGCGGCAGGCUUAAUACAUGCAAGUCGAGGGGCAUCACGGUAGCAAUACUGGUGGCGACCGGCAAACGGGUGCGGAACACGUACGCAACCUUCCCGGAACAGGUGAAUAGCCCUGCGAAAGUAGGAUUAAUACACCGUAUGAUAUUUUUGUGGCAUCACUUGAAUAUUAAAGGUAGCAAUACCGGUUCUGGAUGGGCGUGCGCCUGAUUAGGUAGUUGGGUGGGUAAUGGCCCACCAAGCCUUCGAUCAGUAACUGGUGUGAGAGCACGACCAGUCACACGGGCACUGAGACACGGGCCCGACUCCUACGGGAGGCAGCAGUAAGGAAUAUUGGUCAAUGGACGAAAGUCUGAACCAGCCAUGCCGCGUGAAGGAUGACUGCCCUCUGGGUUNUAAACUUCUUUUAUCUGGGAACGAAAAAGGGUCUUUUUAGCUCACUUGACGGUACCAGAGGAAUAAGCACCGGCUAACUCCGUGCCAGCAGCCGCAGUAA